CGAGCGGGUGUAGCAAUACAUGCCGGCGACCGGCGCAAGGGUGCGUAACGCGUGAGCAAUCUGCCCGUAUCAGGGGGAUAAGCGAUGGAAACGUCGUCUAAUACCGCAUAACACCAAUGAUGGCAUCAUCGAUGGUUGAAAGCUUCGGUGGAUACGGAUGAGCUCGCGAGACAUUAGUUAGUUGGCGGGGUAACGGCCCACCAAGACCGCGAUGUCUAGGGGAACUGAGAGGUUGGUCCCCCCACACUGGAACUGAGACACGGUCCAGACUCCUACGGGAGGCAGCAGUGAGGAAUAUUGGACAAUGGCCGGAAGGCUGAUCCAGCCAUGCCGCGUGAAGGAAUAAGGUCCUUAAUGGAUUGUAAACUUCUUUUGUACGAGAGCAAUAAGUGUCACGAGUGACACGAUGAGAGUAUCGUACGAAUAAGCAUCGGCUAACUCCGUGCCAGCAGCCGC
This 456-nucleotide ribosomal RNA is filed under the name uncultured bacterium. RNAcentral describes it as "bacterial SSU rRNA". It matches the Rfam family "Bacterial small subunit ribosomal RNA", at positions 63 to 518 of the family's 1533-position model. The record is from RNAcentral.